GGUAAUACAUAUAUACACAAGUCUUUCUAUUUCAUUUUUUUGUUAACUAUAAUUUGAAAUUGAGUUAAGUAUAUGAAUACAUGUUUUGUUGUUCAGAUUGUAACGGAGCAUGUGGUGCGAGGUGCCGUUUAUCAUCUCGUCCAAAUCUCUGCAAAAGAGCUUGUGGAACUUGCUGUCAACGUUGCAACUGUGUCCCACCUGGUACUUCUGGAAACCAAGAAAUGUGUCCCUGCUAUGCUAGCUUAACUACUCGCGGUGGCAAACGCAAGUGCCCCUAGACUUCAUCAUGCAUAAAUUUCAUAUUAUUAUAUGAAAUCAUCAUAAAAUAAUGACUUCUUGAGUGAAGCGUGAAAGAAUAAUGAUGUGAAAGAAUAUCAAACACUUUUUUCAAUUCUUGUUGAAUCAUCGAGUCUUGACGACGUUAUGUAUAUUUAGAUACUACAAAAUUAAAAACUAUUGUGAUUUUCUGAUUACUUUCCCUUAAGGUGUACUUGCCUUCUUUGUAAUGUUUAAUCGUUUAUAUCAAUAAGAACUAUUGUUUUGUGCUUUCAUCAUUUUAUCAUAAUAAUUUCAUCUAUUGAUACCAUGUUCUUGUAUGUGACUUUAUAUUUAAUAUUCAACUUUUCAAAUUGUGAUGUUUUUAGUUGGUUAAAUUAUGCAUAACAUAACAUAGAAGGUGUUUUUAAAAAUAAAAAGUUGUUAUUAUAGAACUAUUCAUUAACAUCAUUCAUUUGUACACUUUCAAAACCAUACAAACAUGGAUAGAAUCUUAAAGAAGUAGGGAACACUUCUUACGCAUUUUGAAUAAAAAAUGUUUUAAUUAUGUAUCAUGAAAAACAUAUCACUAUGUUUUUAAAAAAAUUACACACGUGGGUGUAUAUAAUAUGACUAUAAUUUUCUAUUGUAAAUAGAUAAUAACAAAGAUUUGGUGAGAAAGCGUUUGAUUAUUUAUCUAAGUUACAUCUGAUUAUUUUUUUAAUCUGUUCAAUUUGGUAUAUACGUGUAAUCUUGAUUCUUCCAAAUUUGUUAAGCUAAUUUAGUUUUUUUUUUUAAAUUGAGAGAACUUAACAUUUUUUUCAUUAAUUUUUGCUUUUCCUUUUUAGUUUUUAAAAUAUAAUUUUCGAUCCUGACUAUUUUAAUAAAUUGUUUCAAAGGUUUAGAUUUAAUUUGUUUCGCAAAUUUUAUAAAGUCUGAAGAAUCUUAUGAUAUGUAUUAAGGUUAUAACAAGAAUAAUUUUUAUUGGAAUUUGGUUUUUUCCUAGCAUUUUAAUAAAAGGUGAAAUAAUUUAAUCAAUUAAAUUUAUUUGAAUUUUAAUAAAACAUAAUUGUGAGUUUCGAUGAAAAGGAAUUUAGCUUCAUCAUAAAAAUAAAAAUAAAUAAAAAGAAAAAAUGAAAACGAAAGUAAAAUUUGCUUAAAACUAAAAAAAAGGAACAUACGUGACAAAUAGCAAUCGGUGAUGAUGUUGACUGCUGCUGACUCACACAUAAAAGCAACCAAACAAAGUUUUGUUUUUUUCGCAUGGCAAUUACACAUAGAAUAAUUUCGAACACGUAUGAGUAUUUUUUAUAUAUAUAUUAUCAGCUAUUCAUAUUAAUGAUUUUUUAUAUAUAUAUUAUCAGCUAUUUAUAUGAAUAUUUCUUUUAUAUAUGUUAUCAGCUAUUUAUAUGAUUAAAUUAUUUUUAUAUAUACUAAUGUUACGCAUGCACUCUUCAUUCCACGUAUUUCAGGAAAUAAAAAAUAAGAAAGCAAACUGGAACUGUGAGAUAUGUAAAAGUCUUGGUUUUGAUGGGGUAAUGUUAAUUUAAUUAAUAGAAAAAAUAAUAAUUAAAAACUAAUUUAAUAAUUAAUGAUAAAUUAAUAUGAGAAUCAAUAUUAAAAAAAACUUUAAUAAAUUUGCAAAAGUCUAACCAACACUAUGUAGGAUCAACUCCAAUAAAUUAUCAUCAAUAAUAAUUUGUAAUCUAUGCUAUAUAAGGUUAUUUAUUUAUUAAAUAAUAUAAGUUUUUAAUUAUUAGAGAAUUCUGAUGUUUAAUGUGUAUUUUUAUGAUAUUAACAUUUUAAAAUAUCUUAUAUGUUAAAAUAUCUCUAGCCACACUUUUUUUUUCUUCUAUAAUUUUUGCAAAAUCACAGUUUUUUUUACUCAUAAAUGACUAACAUAUUAUCCUCCAUAUACCUUAUUUUUUAACAUUUUGAGUCAUUCCAUCACCAAAAGUUCUUGUGCAUGUUGUUGAUGCUACUAUAUUAGUUGUUUAUAUAACUACAUUGAUAUAUAAAAGGUAAUGUUAGUGGUUCUGUUAUUCAAUAAAAGAAAAAAUUCUGACUAAUUUUUUCGGGAUCAUUAUCUUAAUACUAUUUUUCUCAUCUCAAUAAUAUUUAAAAAUAGUUAUAUAUUAAUUUUAUAUAUUUUAAAGUAAAUAAGAUAUAUAAGUGUAUAAAAAUAUUUAAUUUAAAAUUUUAUUAUCAUGAAAAUUAACAUUUAAAAUCAGUAUUUGCUAACAUUUAAAAGAUGAUAUUAUUUAAUAAAUAACAUUAGAUAAUGGAUUACAAAUUGAUUGGUAUUUAUGAUAUUUUAUUAGAGUUGAUUUUUAAAAAUUAUUAGAGUUAGACGGAUGCUGAUAAUUAAAGUUGAUUUUUAAAUAUUGACUCUCAUAUUAAUUCAUCAUUAAUUAUUAUAUUUUUUUUAUAUCAAUUAAAUUAAUACUAAACCAAAUUUAAAUAUAAAUAUAAAUUUAAUAUUAAUUUAAUUUGUAUUAUUUGGUUAAUGCUAAUAAUAAUAAUAAUUUUGUUUUCAAUAAAAAAAAUACAAAUUAACAAUUAUUGUCAUCAUUAUAGUACUCACCCCCUACUCUUCAUAUAUCACACAACUAUAAAUACCCCUCACCAUGCUUCUCAUUCCAAUAACAAUACACAUACGCAUCUCCAUCUAAACUCCACAAUUUAGCCAUGGCUCUUUCUAAGCUCAUAGUUGCUUCCCUUCUUGCGUCGCUUCUCCUGCUUCAUCUCGUUGAUGCUCAUCAAUCGGUAUAAAAAGAUUCAAAUACAUUGUUUGUUUUGUUUUCUUUCUUUAUGGAUCAUAUCAUAUAACAAUAUGAAGCAAAGUUAGAUUGAUUUUCUUGAGUUGUUUCAACUAGGGUUAACUAACCAAUUUAUGCAUGGUUUUGGGGGAACCGCAGGUGCAAGAACAAACGCAGGGUUCUCUUUUUCAACAGAUAGGUAAUACAUAUAUACACUUUUUUUAUGAACUAAUAAUUUGAAAUUGAGUUAAGUAUAAUGAAUACAUGUUUUGAUUGUUCAGACUGUAACCAAGCGUGUGGUGUGAGAUGUCAUUUAUCAUCUCAUCCAAAUCUAUGCAAAAGAGCUUGUGGAACUUGUUGUCAACGUUGCAACUGCGUCCCACCUGGUACUUCUGGAAACCAAGAAAUGUGUCCCUGCUAUGCUAGGUUAACUACUCAUGAUGGCAAACGCAAGUGUCCUUAGACUACAUCAUGCAUAAAUUU
RNAcentral lists this long non-coding RNA (3497 nucleotides) under Phaseolus vulgaris (common bean). RNAcentral's name for it is "long non-coding RNA (PVUL_LNC004787)". The record is from RNAcentral. Lineage: Eukaryota; Viridiplantae; Streptophyta; Magnoliopsida; Fabales; Fabaceae.